RNAcentral lists this unclassified non-coding RNA (339 nucleotides) under soil metagenome. Its description in RNAcentral is "partial contains 5.8S ribosomal RNA, internal transcribed spacer 2, and large subunit ribosomal RNA". The stretch from base 1 to 120 matches the Rfam family "5.8S ribosomal RNA", at positions 35 to 154 of the family's 154-position model. The record is from RNAcentral.
GAUGAAGAACGUAGCGAAAUGCGAUAAGUAGUGUGAAUUGCAGAAUUCAGUGAAUCAUCGAAUCUUUGAACGCACAUUGCGCCCUUUGGUAUUCCUUAGGGCAUGCCUGUUCGAGCGUCAUUUAAACCUUCAAGCUCAGCUUGGUGUUGGGUGACUGUCCGCCGCCUCCGGGCGGUCGGACUCGCCUCAAAUUGAUUGGCGGCCGGUACUUUGGCUUCGAGCGCAGCAGAAACGCGAACUCGAGGCCGUCGUCCUGGCUCCCAGAAGCUAUCUUCACAAUUUUGACCUCGGAUCAGGUAGGGAUACCCGCUGAACUUAAGAAUAUCAAUAAGCGGAGGA